GGAAUUGUGGCUCAGCAGUAGACUGCUUGUCUAGCACGUACGAGGCCCUGGGUUCGAUCCUCAGCACCA
This 69-nucleotide transfer RNA is filed under the name Marmota monax (woodchuck). RNAcentral's name for it is "tRNA.Ala". The record is from RNAcentral. Lineage: Eukaryota; Metazoa; Chordata; Mammalia; Rodentia; Sciuridae.